AUCCAGAUGACGAGUCCCAAAUAGGACGAAGUAAGCCUUCGGGAU
This 45-nucleotide non-coding RNA is filed under the name Trichobilharzia regenti. Lineage: Eukaryota; Metazoa; Platyhelminthes; Trematoda; Strigeidida; Schistosomatidae. The record is from RNAcentral.